Molecule: long non-coding RNA, 1198 nt
Organism: Drosophila sechellia
Lineage: Eukaryota; Metazoa; Arthropoda; Insecta; Diptera; Drosophilidae
Exons: 3
Source: RefSeq, a predicted model, not a curated record
CUCUCUGCUUUCUUUGGGCCCCUCUUUUUGUUUACUUAGCUGCUUAGUCGCUGUGUGUCGGCUCCCUUUUCUUUUUCCCUCAUUUUGGGACGACUACUUUCCGGAGUCGCAGUUUCUUCUGUCUUUUCGGGUUUCCUCUUUCAAAGAAGGGCAACGGCAACUUGUUCGGUUCAAAUGCCUUCAUUAACGACGCACACAGAUCUGGAAGGGGAAAAUGUGGGGAGCCCUAUGGAAAUUCCGUGUCACGGAUUCCCGGACCGGGUCGAAGGGAAGAGUGCCCAGUGCUCGGGCAGACGACCUUCUCAUCCCCCGAAUUCAUUUCGGUUUACAUUUUCGCAACCUCUACCUGACCUGACAGCACUUCCCCCACCACCGCGAUCCGAAACAAGCCCGCUGAUACGGAAAACUCACCCGAAAUCCGUGCCUCAAACGCUGAGACCUUCUAAUUAUAUUUAUUUCAGAGGCAGCCAGCUCCUUUGGUUACCAAUUAGGCCCAGAUUGUUUGCCCCCGACCAAGAUUGCGGCCAGGAAACUCAGCACUGUCAACAAGAUAUCUCUAAACGGGUCAUUAAUAGGAACCUAUGAAUGUACGUGCAUUUAGGGAAAAGCCACCAAACUGGUUCCAGUUCAGAAAAACCUCCCCUGGCAUUGCCAUCGUAUUCGGGGAAAAUAAAAAUGUAAACAAAGGAAGCAGAAGCCCCUUGAUAAGGCGCCAUUUCUUGCCAAGUUAUCAUUCUAAUGAAAAAUUCCUUGGCCGCCAGGCCGAAUCGCUUCACAAAAGGAAAAUGUAAAAGAAUGUGGAAACAUGCGCAGUACCGUCCGACUUUCCAGGGAGGGUUUGAGGUUUUGAGGCGGGAAAAAAGCCCAGGGGUGACUUGAUUUUCCCGAAAAUCAAAAGAUGUUGCAAGGACAAUUGUUUCCGAGCAGUACCAAACCAGCGAGCUGUGCAUUAUCGCGGAUAAUUCGGUCUGGCUGCAGCUCAUUCAACGCAGGAAACCACCACUGGCCUAAUCAUUUCGAAGGCGGAAACGCCAGAACUUCUAUCGCCUGGAAGCGACCAAGUCUUCGCUUUCCCUAUCUACUGCGCAGCAGCUGGCCAAGAUUUUGCGCCUUUUGUGCGCAAUUCCCAGUCCCCCGUCUUCACAUCUCCGCCAUUCAAGAGCGCUCCUCUACGAGCUUUGUGCGCCAAAUGGGGUUU